Molecule: ribosomal RNA, 781 nt
Filed under: uncultured bacterium
Lineage: Bacteria
Description: bacterial SSU rRNA
Rfam family: Bacterial small subunit ribosomal RNA
Source: RNAcentral
CCAUGNGUAGCGGUGAAAUGCGUAGAUAUAUGGAGGAACACCGGUGGCGAAAGCGGCUNUCUGGUCUGUCACUGACGCUGAGGCUCGAAAGCGUGGGUAGCGANCAGGAUUAGAUACCCUGGUAGUCCACGCCGUAAACGCUGAGUGCUAGGUGUUAGGUCCUUUCCGGGACUUAGUGCCGACGCUAACGCAUUAAGCACUCCGCCUGGGGAGUACGACCGCAAGGUUGAAACUCAAAGGAAUUGACGGGGGCCCGCACAAGCGGUGGAGCAUGUGGUUUAAUUCGAAGCAACGCGAAGAACCUUACCAGGUCUUGACAUCCCGAUGCCCGCUCUAGAGAUAGAGUUUUACUUUUUGUACAUCGGAGACAGGUGGUGCAUGGUUGUCGUCAGCUCGUGUCGUGAGAUGUUGGGUUAAGUCCCGCAACGAGCGCAACCCUUAUUGUUAGUUGCCAUCAUUAAGUUGGGCACUCUAGCGAGACUGCCGGUAAUAAACCGGAGGAAGGUGGGGAUGACGUCAAAUCAUCAUGCCCCUUAUGACCUGGGCUACACACGUGCUACAAUGGUUGGUACAACGAGUCGCAAGCCGGUGACGGCAAGCUAAUCUCUGAAAGCCAAUCUCAGUUCGGAUUGUAGGCUGCAACUCGCCUACAUGAAGUCGGAAUCGCUAGUAAUCGCGGAUCAGCACGCCGCGGUGAAUACGUUCCCGGGCCUUGUACACACCGCCCGUCACACCACGAGAGUUUGUAACACCCAAAGUCGGUGAGGUAACCAUUUAUGGG